This 253-nucleotide ribosomal RNA is filed under the name uncultured bacterium. RNAcentral's name for it is "partial 16S ribosomal RNA". It matches the Rfam family "Bacterial small subunit ribosomal RNA", at positions 524 to 776 of the family's 1533-position model. The record is from RNAcentral.
GACGGGGGAUGCAAGCGUUAUCCGGAAUUACUGGGCGUAAAGCGUCUGCAGGCGGUUUCUUAAGUCCACUGUUAAACCUUGAGGCUCAACCUCAAAUCUGCAUUGGAAACUAGGAGACUUGAGUAUAGUAGGGGUAGAGGGAAUUUCCAGUGGAGCGGUGAAAUGCGUAGAUAUUGGAAAGAACACCGAUGGCGAAGGCACUCUACUGGGCUAUUACUGACACUCAGAGACGAAAGCUAGGGGAGCAAAUGGG